RNAcentral lists this unclassified non-coding RNA (123 nucleotides) under uncultured fungus. Its description in RNAcentral is "sequence contains ITS1". The record is from RNAcentral. Lineage: Eukaryota; Fungi.
ACAAAUCCAAUACUUGUGGGCGCAAGCCUGCGAAUAUUAGUCCGCUGGCCGCGUGCGUGGCUGGCAGAUAAAUAAAUAAAUCAUGUUGUGUAGACAGUGUGUGUGAUAAUAUUUAAUUAUUGA